Non-coding RNA from Stylophora pistillata, 72 nucleotides. The record is from the annotation of a RefSeq genome assembly. NCBI's taxonomy places the organism in Eukaryota, Metazoa, Cnidaria, Anthozoa, Scleractinia, Pocilloporidae.
GGGGGAGUAGCUCAGUGGUAGAGCGGCUGACUGAAAAUCAGACGGUCGUGGGUUCAAUACCCACCUCCUCCA